CCUACGGGGGGCAGCAGUAGGGAAUAUUGGACAAUGGGCGCAAGCCUGAUCCAGCCAUGCCGCGUGAGUGAUGAAGGCCUUAGGGUUGUAAAGCUCUUUCGGCGGGGAAGCGGUACCCGCAUAAGAAGCCCCGGCUAACUUCGUGCCAGCAGCCGCGGUAAUACGAAGGGGGCUAGCGUUGCUCGGAAUCACUGGGCGUAAAGCGCACGUAGGCGGACUCUUAAGUCAGGGGUGAAAUCCUGGAGCUCAACUCCAGAACUGCCUUUGAUACUGGGAGCCUUGAGUUCGGGAGAGGUGAGUGGAACUGCGAGUGUAGAGGUGAAAUUCGUAGAUAUUCGCAAGAACACCAGUGGCGAAGGCGGCUCACUGGCCCGUCUGACGCUGAGGUGCGAAAGCGUGGGGAGCAAACAGGAUUAAUACCCUUGUAGUC
This 430-nucleotide ribosomal RNA is filed under the name uncultured bacterium. Its description in RNAcentral is "partial 16S ribosomal RNA". It matches the Rfam family "Bacterial small subunit ribosomal RNA", at positions 338 to 795 of the family's 1533-position model. The record is from RNAcentral.